This 612-nucleotide long non-coding RNA is filed under the name Olea europaea (common olive). Its description in RNAcentral is "long non-coding RNA (OEUR_LNC009883)". Lineage: Eukaryota; Viridiplantae; Streptophyta; Magnoliopsida; Lamiales; Oleaceae. The record is from RNAcentral.
AAAUUUUGAUAUUCCAAUCCAUUAACCUAUCUUUAAACAGAUAUUUUAUUCACACUUGACAACUAUAAGCUACAACGAGUGUUAGUAAUGAAUAAAAAACCUCUCUGGAGAUGCAGAAUUAUCAACGGAAGGUAAAAUCUUCAAUAAAUCCUGUUGCUCGUCAUUGGUUAGAUGAGACACAAAUUUGUCAAAAUUAAGGAUAUCCUGCAUCAAUGUUGAAAUUGAUUAAAACAGAGUACAGUGCAUAGCCUUUAACAUCAAUGCCACUGAAUUCAAUACUCAAGAACAAUUAAGAACAGAAAUGAUCAGGAAAAAGAUUAAGUUACGAAUAAAGUGAUAAUAGGCAUAAAAUGGAGCGUGUAUACAGAUGCCUGGAAAUCUAAAAUCAAGAAAUCAAGAACUAGUAUGAGGAGUUAGAACGAAGAUGGAGUCCAUGAUUUAGUUUACUCUCUGUACACUGCAUAAAAUAAGUCUUAAAAAGAGAGGGAAUUUAAUUAAUGACAAAUUUCGCCCAGUGACACUGACAUAUUGUCUUUCAAGAAAUACGGAAUCCUUGCAUUACCAUUAGUAAACAUUAGUACUUCUGAUCAUAGUAUAAAAAGAAUGUUCAGA